RNAcentral lists this ribosomal RNA (497 nucleotides) under uncultured bacterium. RNAcentral's name for it is "partial 16S ribosomal RNA". It matches the Rfam family "Bacterial small subunit ribosomal RNA", at positions 28 to 507 of the family's 1533-position model. The record is from RNAcentral.
GAUGAACGCUGGCGGCGUGCCUAAUACAUGCAAGUCGAGCGAACGGACGAGAAGCUUGCUUCUCUGAUGUUAGCGGCGGACGGGUGAGUAACACGUGGAUAACCUACCUAUAAGACUGGGAUAACUUCGGGAAACCGUAGCUAAUACCGGAUAAUAUUUUGAACCGCAUGGUUCAAAAGUGAAAGACGGUCUUGCUGUCACUUAUAGAUGGAUCCGCGCUGCAUUAGCUAGUUGGUAAGGUAACGGCUUACCAAGGCAACGAUGCAUAGCCGACCUGAGAGGGUGAACGGCCACACGGGAACUGAGAAACGGUACAGACUCCUACGGGAGGAAGCAGUAGGGAAUCUUACGCGAUGGGGGAAAGCCUGACGGAGCAAAGCCGCGGGAGUGAUGAAGGUCUUCGGAUCGGAAAACUAUGUUAUUAGGGAAGAACAUAUGUGUAAGUAACUGUGAACAUCUUGACGGUACCUAAUCAGAAAGCCACGGCUAACUACGUG